RNAcentral lists this ribosomal RNA (557 nucleotides) under uncultured bacterium. Its description in RNAcentral is "partial 16S ribosomal RNA". It matches the Rfam family "Bacterial small subunit ribosomal RNA", at positions 355 to 902 of the family's 1533-position model. The record is from RNAcentral.
UGGGGAAUAUUGCACAAUGGGCGCAAGCCUGAUGCAGCCAUGCCGCGUGUGUGAAGAAGGCCUUCGGGUUGUAAAGCACUUUCAGCGAGGAGGAAGGUGGUGAGCUUAAUACGCUCAUCAAUUGACGUUACUCGCAGAAGAAGCACCGGCUAACUCCGUGCCAGCAGCCGCGGUAAUACGGAGGGUGCAAGCGUUAAUCGGAAUUACUGGGCGUAAAGCGCACGCAGGCGGUUUGUUAAGUCAGAUGUGAAAUCCCCGGGCUCAACCUGGGAACUGCAUUUGAAACUGGCAAGCUAGAGUCUCGUAGAGGGGGGUAGAAUUCCAGGUGUAGCGGUGAAAUGCGUAGAGAUCUGGAGGAAUACCGGUGGCGAAGGCGGCCCCCUGGACGAAGACUGACGCUCAGGUGCGAAAGCGUGGGGCAGCAAACAGGAUUAGAUACCCUGGUAGUCCACGCUGUAAAACGAUGUCGAUUUGGAGGUUGUGCCCCUGAGGCGUGGCUUCCGGAGCUAACGCGUUAAAUCGACCGCCUGGGGAGUACGGCCGCAAGGUUAAAACUC